This is a long non-coding RNA of Triticum aestivum (bread wheat), 1371 nucleotides long. RefSeq lists it as uncharacterized. NCBI's taxonomy places the organism in Eukaryota, Viridiplantae, Streptophyta, Magnoliopsida, Poales, Poaceae. The record is from RefSeq and is a predicted model, not a curated record. The transcript has 2 exons.
UAGUCCUCAACAUAACCUGUCCUCUCCUUCCUUAUCCUGUUCCUCUCCCCAUCCUCUUGACCGACGGCGGCUGGCUGAUGACGCCGGACGAAGAGGGAGAGCAAGACGACGCCCUUCCCCCAGUAACCCUCCAGCCUUUCCCCUCCCAGCCGCGGCCUCCCCAUCGAGGUAGCAGGACGGCGACGCUUGGUGUCUCCUCGAUCUCCCCUGGUCAACGCACUUCCAUGCUCGGCUACUCUACACCCCCAUACCCUCCCUGCUCGAUGCCACCGAGCUCCGGUAGUCCAGCUCAUCAAAUCCGGCGGGCCGCAGGCUGCAGCUCACCAUGUUCCACAGCGUCCAGCUCCAAUCCGAACUAUGAAGAGCUACUACAAGAUGACGAGCCAUCUGAAGAUGAAGCUGGGGUUACCAUCAAUUUAAAGAGCAAAGAAAAAAAAUUAAAACUUCAACCAGAUCAUUUUGUUGACCCUUCGUCUUGAUAUGCAUAUGAAAUCAGAUGAUGUUCCUAUUUUUUCUGGUAUUGUCUGCAUGUUAAUCAGAAUUACAAAUUUCAUUUCAUUAGAUGAUUGUUCACCCGAGCCAUAACAAUUUCAGGUUAGCUGUACUCCUAUUCCUUUUAAAUUUUCUAUAGCAUAUCAGGAUUGCAAGAUGAAGAACAAUCAAUAAGUUCAAGAAAAGCUUGAACCAAUGGCAACAAGUAAGGACAAAUUCUUUUGCAAUCAACACUAACUACUGAUUUUAGGAGUUAUAGUCAUGUUCUGGUACCCAAAAUCUUAACUAGCAUCGUUGAAAUUCUAUUCAACAUAAGUUUUAUUCUUGUCCAACCAGAUCAUUUUGUUGACCUUUUCGUCUUGGAUGUGCAUAUUAAAAUAGACGAGGUUCCUUUUUUUCAGGUAUGAUCUGCAUGUUCUGCUGCAAGUUCAUAUCUGGAAAAAAAUGCUUGUUGUGACGAGCUAGUAUUCUUUCAGGAAGCUGAACAUGCAAGUUCAUAUCUGCAAAAAAAAAAAGCAAGUUCAGCUGCAUCCACUUUGUCUCUUUCAGGAAGCCAAGAUGUCUUGUACAUAUGAUCAUGGGAGCUGCACGGUGCUCAACCUAUUGGCAUACAAAAGCAUCCCUUGAUUCACGUUAUUUGUGGAUGAUGCCCUUGUGGAGUGAUCUGGAGCUAUGGACACCUUCCCUAAAGCUUGAAACAUGUAUUUUCUGUUUAGAUUUUGUACGGUACUGGAAUGUUUGGAGCUUCAGUUUUCUACUUUGUUUUUGCUUUUCUGAACUGCCAUAGGCAGAUGUCGGUGAGCAGAUAUGUAACUGGCUGCGAUCUGGUUCCAUUUUAAUUAAAUGAUGCCGGGGGUUCCACCCUAUUUUUUGAACAAA